GACGAACGCUGGCGGCGUGCCUAAUACAUGCAAGUAGAACGCUGAAGGAGGAGCUUGCUUCUCCGGAUGAGUUGCGAACGGGUGAGUAACGCGUAGGUAACCUGCCUGGUAGCGGGGGAUAACUAUUGGAAACGAUAGCUAAUACCGCAUAAGAGUAGAUGUUGCAUGACAUUUGCUUAAAAGGUGCAAUUGCAUCACUACCAGAUGGACCUGCGUUGUAUUAGCUAGUUGGUGGGGUAACGGCUCACCAAGGCGACGAUACAUAGCCGACCUGAGAGGGUGAUCGGCCACACUGGGACUGAGACACGGCCCAGACUCCUACGGGAGGCAGCAGUAGGGAAUCUUCGGCAAUGGACGGAAGUCUGACCGAGCAACGCCGCGUGAGUGAAGAAGGUUUUCGGAUCGUAAAGCUCUGUUGUAAGAGAAGAACGAGUGUAAGAGUGGAAAGUUCACACUGUGACGGUAUCUUACCAGAAAGGGACGGCUAACUACGUGC
RNAcentral lists this ribosomal RNA (496 nucleotides) under uncultured Streptococcus sp. Its description in RNAcentral is "bacterial SSU rRNA". It matches the Rfam family "Bacterial small subunit ribosomal RNA", at positions 28 to 508 of the family's 1533-position model. Lineage: Bacteria; Bacillati; Bacillota; Bacilli; Lactobacillales; Streptococcaceae. The record is from RNAcentral.